Helianthus annuus (common sunflower) is the source of this 322-nucleotide long non-coding RNA. RefSeq lists it as uncharacterized. The record is from RefSeq and is a predicted model, not a curated record. NCBI's taxonomy places the organism in Eukaryota, Viridiplantae, Streptophyta, Magnoliopsida, Asterales, Asteraceae. The transcript is spliced from 3 exons.
UGAUGAAGUUGAAGGAAUUGAAGUUGCAUGGAUCCAAGUGAUGUUUAUUCCGAGUUUCACUUACUACAGACGCUAAAUUGUUUACCUCGAUGAAUUUGAGGCAGCUCGACCUGGGUGUUGAAGUACAUAUGUGGUGUUCGAUUUCGUAAAUUAUUUUGACAAAGAUCAAUGAUUUCCUGCUGCAACCUAAAUAUGGGCUUGAAGAUAUGCGAUUCUAUUUUUUAUGAUUAUGUAUGGCGGCGUAUUGCUUUAUCAUGGAUGGCACAAAAAAAAGACUAAAAGUUUGUAAUGCUUUGGAGUUAUUGAUGACCAGGUGGCUUAG